UGGGGUCUGGGGAGGGUAAUAUGUAGACAGGCCUUACCCCUACCCGAAAGGGCAGAGAGGCUGUUUCCAAUCAACCCUCGGCUCAUUGAAGGAAAAACAAAAACAAAAACAAAAACAAAAACAAAAGGGCAUUAGAAGUUAUAUAGAUGUACAAGAAGUUAUAUAGAUGCGGAGGAAUCAUGCAAAGAUUACAAGUGUAAUUAGCUUUCUUUCUUCGACACUGGAGGCCUAAGUUUAGGUGCUCUUUAGUUUGUAAUUUGCUUUUUGGUUAUCUAUGGUAAUGUCACAGUGUUACCAAAAAAAGGUUUUUUUUUUAUUAUCAGGGCGCACUAGGUUAAGAAACAUUUAUGAGGCUAGAUUACCAGUGCAUCAAGAUCCACAACCAUUUUGGUAAUGUCUACCACCCCAACACUCCAGAUGCGUCACAAUCUUUUCUGGUCAAUUACAAUUAUAAUCACAAGAGGGGCUUGCUCUGAUGGUAAGCAACCCCCACUUCCAAUCGAGAGGUUGUGAGUUCGANNNNNNNNNNNNNNNNNNNNNNNNNNNNNNAUACAAUGGUAAGCAACCCCCACUUCCAACCGAGAGGUUGUGAGUUCGAGUC
This 601-nucleotide long non-coding RNA is filed under the name Nicotiana benthamiana. RNAcentral describes it as "long non-coding RNA (NBEN_LNC038318)". Lineage: Eukaryota; Viridiplantae; Streptophyta; Magnoliopsida; Solanales; Solanaceae. The record is from RNAcentral.